This 253-nucleotide ribosomal RNA is filed under the name uncultured bacterium. RNAcentral describes it as "partial 16S ribosomal RNA". It matches the Rfam family "Bacterial small subunit ribosomal RNA", at positions 524 to 776 of the family's 1533-position model. The record is from RNAcentral.
UACGUAGGGUCCGAGCGUUGUCCGGAAUUAUUGGGCGUAAAGGGCUCGUAGGCGGUCUGUUGCGUCGGGAGUGAAAACUUACAGCUUAACUGUGAGCGUGCUUCCGAUACGGGCAGACUUGAGGUAUUCAGGGGAGAACGGAAUUCCUGGUGUAGCGGUGAAAUGCGCAGAUAUCAGGAGGAACACCGGUGGCGAAGGCUGUUCUCUGGGAAUAUCCUGACGCUGAGGAGCGAAAGUGUGGGGAGCGAACAGG